GGGACAUGGGAUAUGGGGUCAGUGGGACAUAGGGACAUGGGACAUGGGGUCAGUGGGACAUGGGGACAUGGGGACAUGGCACUGCUGGUGGCACUGGCACUGACACCUCACUUCCAGCCUGCCAUGAGGACACAGGACACGGGGACAGUGGGGUCAGUGGGACACGGGGUCAGUGCAUGGCACCGACCCCAUGCCACCAGUGCCACCACCAGUGCCACACCUCUGCCUGCUACGGGCACCUGGGGACACAGGGACAGUGGGACAUGGGGACAUUGCUGUAUCCUGGCCAAAAAUGGGGACCCAGAGCGGCCCAGAGGGAUCUCGGUGCCUCACACCACAGCGAUGCAUCCUGAAAAUCCUGAAAAUCCCAUCCCUUGGGGAUUCAUGGGAUCCUGACCCCAGUCCCUGGGAUUUUCCAUGGGAAUCCACUCAGGAUCCUGGCCCAAAUCCCUGGGGUUUUCCAGUGGGAUCCACUCAGGAUCCCGACCCAAAUCCCACAGGUUUUCCAUGGGAAUCCAGGGGAUCCUGACCCCAUUCCCUGGGAAUUUCCAGUGGAAUCCAAAUCCCAAUUCCUGGGAUUUUCCAUCAGAAUCCAUCCCCAAUCCUAUGAGUGUUCCAGUGGGAUCCCACCCCAAAUCCUGGGGAUUUUCCAGUGGGAUCUCGACCCCAAAUCAAUCCCUUGGGGUUUUCCAGCAGGAUGCACUCAGGGAUUUUCUGUCAGGAUCCCGACCCCAAUCCCAGGGAUUUUCCACUGGGAUCCAUCCCUGUCCAGCUGCACAGCCCUGGCUCCAGCCUUUCCCUGGAUACAGUCUCCAAAACACCAGGAAAACAUCGGGAUCACGACAGGAAUCCCCCACCCAUCCCCAAUUCCCAGCUCUCUCCAAGGAGGAAAUUCCCAUUAAAUUCCUUGAAAAACAACCUGGCCCCGGCUCCAGGGGGGGAAAUGGAAAUGGGAAGCACCUGGUGCUGUGAUCCCACUUUUUUUAGGGGAGUUUUCCUUAAAAUGUCUCCUUUUCCCUCAAAUUUGGGCACUGAAUUGCACAAAAAUUGGGGAAAAUCCUUGGAUUCUUCAGCACCAACCCCCCUGGAAUAAUCUGGAUCAUUUUCCUCCCAUGGAAGCCCAGAAAAACCAAAAAUUUGUUGUUGUGCUUCCUGAAAAUCCAAAGAAAUCUGGGAAAAUUGAAAUUUUAUGGAAGUGCUG
This is a long non-coding RNA of Oenanthe melanoleuca, 1201 nucleotides long. RefSeq lists it as uncharacterized. The transcript is spliced from 2 exons. NCBI's taxonomy places the organism in Eukaryota, Metazoa, Chordata, Aves, Passeriformes, Muscicapidae. The record is from RefSeq and is a predicted model, not a curated record.